RNAcentral lists this ribosomal RNA (253 nucleotides) under uncultured bacterium. Its description in RNAcentral is "partial 16S ribosomal RNA". It matches the Rfam family "Bacterial small subunit ribosomal RNA", at positions 524 to 776 of the family's 1533-position model. The record is from RNAcentral.
UACGUAGGGUGCAAGCGUUAAUCGGAAUUACUGGGCGUAAAGCGUGCGCAGGCGGUGAUGUAAGACAGGUGUGAAAUCCCCGGGCUCAACCUGGGAACUGCAUUUGUGACUGCAUGGCUAGAGUACGGUAGAGGGGGAUGGAAUUCCGCGUGUAGCAGUGAAAUGCGUAGAUAUGCGGAGGAACACCGAUGGCGAAGGCAAUCCCCUGGACCUGUACUGACGCUCAUGCACGAAAGCGUGGGGAGCAAACAGG